Molecule: long non-coding RNA, 124 nt
Organism: Sinocyclocheilus grahami
Lineage: Eukaryota; Metazoa; Chordata; Actinopteri; Cypriniformes; Cyprinidae
Exons: 3
Source: RefSeq, a predicted model, not a curated record
CUGCUGCUGUGAUUUACUAUCGCAAGCGCCAAAGAAGAAGGACAGAUAUGGAUAUGCAGUCCAGUGAUCAGGAGAACAUGAAGAGAAGAUUGGAAAUGAGAGAAGAGCAUAAACUGAAACUCAC